AUUCUUGGUCAUUUAGAGGAAGUAAAAGUCGUAACAAGGUUUCCGUAGGUGAACCUGCGGAAGGAUCAUUACCGAACCGUCGACACGAGUUGUUGCUGGCCUUCAAAUGGGGGCAUGUGCACGCUCUGUUCGUACAUCCACUCACACCUGUGCACCUUCCGUAGUUCUGUGGCCUGGGGGACCCUGUCCUCCUGCCGCGGUUCUAUGUCUUUACACACACGCUGUAACAAAGUCUUAUGGAAUGUACGCCGCGUUUAACGCAAUACAAUACAACUUUCAGCAACGGAUCUCUUGGCUCUCGCAUCGAUGAAGAACGCAGCGAAAUGCGAUAAGUAAUGUGAAUUGCAGAAUUCAGUGAAUCAUCGAAUCUUUGAACGCACCUUGCGCCCUUUGGCUAUUCCGAAGGGCAUGCCUGUUUGAGUAUCAUGAACACCUCAACCCCUCAUGGUUUGCCAUGAUGGGCUUGGACUUUGGAGGUCUUGCUGUCCCAUGGUCGGCUCCUCUCAAACGAAUCAGCUUGCCAGUGUUUGGUGGCAUCGCAGGUGUGAUAAUUAUCUACGCUUGUGGUGUUCUGCCGGAUAACCUUCGGCGACGGAGGUUCACUGGAGCUCAUAAACGUCUCUCCUCAGUGGGGACAGCCCUUUGAACGUUUGAUCUCAAAUCAGGUAGGACUACCCGCUGAACUUAAGCAUAUCAAUAAGCGGAGGAAAUC
This 712-nucleotide ribosomal RNA is filed under the name uncultured Tomentella. RNAcentral's name for it is "eukaryotic LSU rRNA". The stretch from base 272 to 426 matches the Rfam family "5.8S ribosomal RNA". The record is from RNAcentral. Lineage: Eukaryota; Fungi; Basidiomycota; Agaricomycetes; Thelephorales; Thelephoraceae.